This 351-nucleotide ribosomal RNA is filed under the name Methanobacteriota archaeon. Its description in RNAcentral is "bacterial SSU rRNA". It matches the Rfam family "Archaeal small subunit ribosomal RNA", at positions 1 to 354 of the family's 1478-position model. Lineage: Archaea; Methanobacteriati; Methanobacteriota. The record is from RNAcentral.
AACUCCGGUUGAUCCUGCCGGCGGUCACUGCUAUCGAGUUCCGACUAAGCCAUGCGAGUCACAGGCCGAAAGGUACUGGCUUACGGCUCAGUAACACGCGGAUAAUCCACCCUCAGGUGGGGCAUAACCUUGGGAAACUGAGGCUAAUUCCCCAUAGAACCUGCAAACUGGAAUGUUGUAGGUUUGAAAGUUACGACGCCUGAGGACGAGUCUGCGGCCUAUCAGGUUGUAGGUGGGGUAAAGGCCCACAUAGCCUAAGACGGGUACGGGCCCUGAGAGGGGUAGCCCGGAGAUGGGUUCUGAGACACGAACCCAGGCCCUACGGGGCGCAGCAGGCGCGAAACCUUCGCA